Molecule: transfer RNA, 77 nt
Filed under: Vibrio phage vB_ValS_X1
Lineage: Duplodnaviria; Heunggongvirae; Uroviricota; Caudoviricetes; Demerecviridae
Description: tRNA-Leu
Rfam family: tRNA
About the family: Transfer RNA (tRNA) molecules are approximately 80 nucleotides in length. Their secondary structure includes four short double-helical elements and three loops (D, anti-codon, and T loops).
Source: RNAcentral
GCUCGCGUGGUCAAAUUGGCAUAGGCAGUAGACUUAAAAUCUACGGUAUGUGGGUUCGAAUCCCACCGCGAGUACCA